This is a small nuclear RNA of Solanum dulcamara, 102 nucleotides long. The record is from RefSeq and is a predicted model, not a curated record. Lineage: Eukaryota; Viridiplantae; Streptophyta; Magnoliopsida; Solanales; Solanaceae.
AAUAAUGGUUGUUCGAUAAUAAGAUUUUCCUCCUCGAGAAAUGAUUAGCAUGGUCCCUGAUCAAGGAUGACAUGCACAAAUCGAGAUCUGGUUCAAAUUUUU